AGAGUUUGAUCAUGGCUCAGGAUGAACGCUGGCGGCGUGCUUAACACAUGCAAGUCGAACGGGGUUAUUUUUAGGAAGUUUUCGGAUGGAAUAGAGAUAAUCUAGUGGCGGACGGGUGAGUAACGCGUGAACAAUCUGCCUUGAAGAGGGGGAUAACACUUAGAAAUAGGUGCUAAUACCGCAUAAGACCACAGAGCCGCAUGGCUUAGGGGUAAAAGGAGCAAUCCACUUUAAGAGGAGUUUGCGUAUCAUUAGGUAGUUGGUAGGGUAACGGCCUACCAAGCCGACGAUGGUUAGCCGACCUGAGAGGGUGAUCGGCCACACUGGAACUGAGAUACGGUCCAGACUCCUACGGGAGGCAGCAGUGGGGAAUAUUGGGCAAUGGAGGAAACUCUGACCCAGCAACGCCGCGUGAAGGAAGAAGGUCUUCGGAUUGUAAACUUCUGUUAUAGGGGAAAAAACAAAUGAUGGUACCCUAUGAGAAAGCUACGGCAAACUAUGUGCCAGCAGCCGCGGUAAUACAUAGGUAGCAAGCGUUAUCCGGAAUAACUGGGCGUAAAGGGAGUGUAGGUGGUGAGAUAAGUCAUAUGUGAAAGCCCUCGGCUUAACUGAGGAAUUGCAUGUGAUACUGUUUUACUAGAGUGUGAGAGAGGUAAGCGGAAUUCCUAGUGUAGCGGUAGAAUGCGUAGAGAUUAGGAGGAACACCAGAGGCGAAGGCGGCUUACUGGCUCAUAACUGACACUGAGGCUCGAAAGCGUGGGGAGCAAACAGGAUUAGAUACCCUGGUAGUCCACGCUGUAAACGAUGGAUACUAGAUGC
Molecule: ribosomal RNA, 819 nt
Filed under: uncultured bacterium
Lineage: Bacteria
Description: bacterial SSU rRNA
Rfam family: Bacterial small subunit ribosomal RNA
Source: RNAcentral